CUACAAAGGAAUUGACGGGGGCCCGCACAAGCGGUGGAGCAUGUGGUUAAUUCGACGCAACGCGAAGAACCUUACCAGGGCUUGACAUCCCCUGACCGCGUAUGAAAGUACGUUUUCACCCUCGGGUGACAGGGAGACAGGUGGUGCAUGGUUGUCGUCAGCUCGUGUCGUGAGAUGUUGGGUUAAGUCCCGCAACGAGCGCAACCCCUACGUUUAGUUGCUAACAGGUGAAGCUGAGCACUCUAGACGAACUGCCGUUGACAAAACGGAGGAAGUGGGGAUGACGUCAAAUCAUCAUGCCCCUUAUGUUCUGGGCUACACACGUGCUACAAUGGCCGGUACAGACGGAGGCGAAGCCGCGAGGCGGAGCAAAUCCGAAAAAGCCGGUCUCAGUUCGGAUUGCAGGCUGCAAUUCGCCUGCAUGAAGUCGGAAUCGCUAGUAAUCGCAGGUCAGCAUACUGCGGUGAAUACGUUCCCGGGCCUU
RNAcentral lists this ribosomal RNA (484 nucleotides) under uncultured Pelotomaculum sp. RNAcentral describes it as "bacterial SSU rRNA". It matches the Rfam family "Bacterial small subunit ribosomal RNA", at positions 903 to 1382 of the family's 1533-position model. Lineage: Bacteria; Bacillati; Bacillota; Clostridia; Eubacteriales; Desulfotomaculaceae. The record is from RNAcentral.